Long non-coding RNA from Panicum virgatum (switchgrass), 872 nucleotides. RefSeq lists it as uncharacterized. The transcript has 2 exons. Lineage: Eukaryota; Viridiplantae; Streptophyta; Magnoliopsida; Poales; Poaceae. The record is from RefSeq and is a predicted model, not a curated record.
ACCCUCAAGAACCCGCAACUUCAUUUCGCAUCUGCUUGCCUCGCGGAAGCCGGCGGCCGCCGUCGCGGUCCCCACCCCCACUGCAAUCAACGUCUCCGUCCAGUCGCCCAUCAUCCGCUCCUCACGCCGCCCACUGCGAAGUCACUCGAGCCGAGGGCCCGACCCCAACGCCCUUACGUCGUGCUGCCACCGCUGCAGCGCCGCCGUGGAGAUGCCAGGGAGCACAGCAGGAUGUCAACGCUUAGGCCGCCGUCGUCUCCGCUCAACUCCACCAACUAGCAUCACUGCCUCCCUGCGGGCUACGCCGGCACGUCCUGCCGUGUUACGAAGUAGCAGCCAACCCUGCGCCCUGUUCUUAAGUCUGCAUCACAGCAAUCAGAGGUGAAGUUGUCUUUAUUCAUGGUAACUGCACUAUCAUUGGAGGCUGCCCAAGGAGAGCUGGUUUCUCACAAAGUAGGACUGUAUUGUUCCUAAAAUUUGAUGAAAUGGCUUGAAGCUACAGAAUUCCUUCACACUACAUACAUGCAGUUCUGAUGAAAACUUUUGUUUUUGAACUUUUCCAGAUGUGAAGAAACAAGAUGCUUGGAUGGAUAAAAUUUUUUUAGUUCUUUUCUUAGUAGCACCAUGAUAAUUUAAUCUAUCCUUAUUUGAUUAUCCUUGAUGUAAUCUAUCCUAGUUUGGUUAUCUAUAGUGCCUUCUUGCUUACUGGGAGCUCUUUAGCAAAUAGUACUCUGAAUAGCAACCAAGAAUAAACAGGUGGUAGAAGCUAAUGGUUCUUGUUAAUUCUUGAUGAUGUAAUGUAAUCCUAAUCUGAUUGAUGAUAGAAUGACACAGUUCUAAUUAUUAAUACUCGUUUUUGAAUUUUGAUUUCA